This 460-nucleotide ribosomal RNA is filed under the name uncultured bacterium. Its description in RNAcentral is "partial 16S ribosomal RNA". It matches the Rfam family "Bacterial small subunit ribosomal RNA", at positions 338 to 795 of the family's 1533-position model. The record is from RNAcentral.
CCUACGGGGGGCAGCAGUGAGGAAUAUUGGUCAAUGGACGAGAGUCUGAACCAGCCAAGUAGCGUGAAGGAUGACUGCCCUAUGGGUUGUAAACUUCUUUUAUAUGGGAAUAAAACGUUCCACGUGUGGGAUUUUGUAUGUACCAUAUGAAUAAGGAUCGGCUAACUCCGUGCCAGCAGCCGCGGUAAUACGGAGGAUCCGAGCGUUAUCCGGAUUUAUUGGGUUUAAAGGGAGCGUAGGUGGAUUGUUAAGUCAGUUGUGAAAGUUUGCGGCUCAACCGUAAAAUUGCAGUUGAAACUGGCAGUCUUGAGUACAGUAGAGGUGGGCGGAAUUCGUGGUGUAGCGGUGAAAUGCUUAGAUAUCACGAAGAACUCCGAUUGCGAAGGCAGUUCACUGGACUGCAACUGACAUUGAGGCUCGAAAGUGUGGGUAUCAAACAGGAUUAGAUACCCGUGUAGUC